RNAcentral lists this ribosomal RNA (444 nucleotides) under Chaetothyriales sp. NY235. Its description in RNAcentral is "eukaryotic LSU rRNA". The stretch from base 119 to 272 matches the Rfam family "5.8S ribosomal RNA". The record is from RNAcentral. Lineage: Eukaryota; Fungi; Ascomycota; Eurotiomycetes; Chaetothyriales.
CCCUUUGUUUACCUUACCACUGUUGCCUCGGCGNUNGGGGGAAACCUCGUCGCCGGUGGCCUACUAUAUAAACCCUUUUUUAAACCCAGUCUUCUGAGAAUUUAUUUAAUAACUUCAAAACUUUCAACAACGGAUCUCUUGGUUCUGGCAUCGAUGAAGAACGCAGCGAAAUGCGAUACGUAAUGUGAAUUGCAGAAUUCAGUGAAUCAUCGAAUCUUUGAACGCACAUUGCGCCCUCUGGUAUUCCGGAGGGCAUGCCUGUUCGAGCGUCAUUAUCAACCAUCAAGCUCUGCUUGGCAUUGACUGUCACCCCCCAGGGGGAGCGGUCUAAACAGGUCGGCUUCGGAUGCGAACCGCGAGCGUUAGUAAUACUUCCCGCUUUGCAGGUCAAAUCUGUUAGCCUCCAAAACCCAACACCUCAAGGUUGACCUCGGAUCAGGUAGG